AGCGGAGGAAAAGAAACUAACAAGGAUUCCCCCAGUAACGGCGAGUGAAGUGGGAAAAGCUCAACUUUGAAAUCUGGCUGUUUUACAGUCCGAGUUGUAGUCUCGAGAAGUGUUUUCCGCGUUAAACCGUGUAUGAGUCUGUUGGAACACAGCGUCAUAGAGGGUGAGAACCCCGUUCAUGACACGGCUUUUAAUGCUUUGUGAUACACUUUCGAUGAGUCGAGUUGUUUGGGAAUGCAGCUCAAAUUGGGUGGUAAAUUCCAUCUAAAGCUAAAUAUUGGCGAGAGACCGAUAGCAAACAAGUACCGUGAGGGAAAGAUGAAAAGCACUUUGGAAAGAGAGUUAAAAGUACGUGAAAUUGUCGAAAGGGAAACGCUUGAAGUCAGACGUGCACGGGAUUUAUUCCUAUUGCAGGCCAACAUCGGUUUUACGAGCCGGAUAAAGGUACAAGGAAGGUAGCAGUUUCGGCUGUGUUAUAGCCUCGUACUGAAUACGGAUUGUGAGACCGAGGGACGCAGCGCGCCGCAAGGCAAAGGGUCCGCCCUUUUCGCGCUUAGGAUGUUGGUGAAAUGGCUUUAAUCGACCCGUCUU
RNAcentral lists this ribosomal RNA (591 nucleotides) under Erythrobasidium hasegawianum. RNAcentral describes it as "eukaryotic LSU rRNA". It matches the Rfam family "Eukaryotic large subunit ribosomal RNA", at positions 49 to 655 of the family's 3401-position model. The record is from RNAcentral. Lineage: Eukaryota; Fungi; Basidiomycota; Cystobasidiomycetes; Erythrobasidiales; Erythrobasidiaceae.